GGGACAGGGAGUUUAUUGAGGCCUAAAGCAUCCGUAGCUGGCUAAGUUAGUCCCUUGUUAAAUCCACCGAAUUAAUCGUUGGAUUGCGGGGGAUACUGCUUGGCUAGGGGACGAGAGAGGCAGACGGUAUUUCCGGGGUAGGGGUGAAAUCCUAUAAUCCCGGGAAGACCACCAGUGGCGAAGGCUGUCUGCUAGAACGCGCCCGACGGUGAGGGAUGAAAGCUGGGGGAGCGAACCGGAUUAGAUACCCGGGUAGUCCCAGCUGUAAACGAUGCAGGCUAGGUGUUUGGACGGCCACGUGCCGUUCUAGUGCCGCAGGGAAGCUGUUAAGCCUGCCGCCUGGGGAGUACGAUCGCAAGAUUGAAACUUAAAGGAAUUGGCGGGGGAGCACAAA
RNAcentral lists this ribosomal RNA (394 nucleotides) under uncultured archaeon. Its description in RNAcentral is "bacterial SSU rRNA". It matches the Rfam family "Archaeal small subunit ribosomal RNA", at positions 488 to 882 of the family's 1478-position model. The record is from RNAcentral.